AAAGGCAAGCCAUUUAACUCAUUAGAAAGAAAACGCAAACUAAAGAGAACCCUAAGCGCCGUCUCUCUCUCUCUCUCGUCUCAACACAGUCGCCACCGCACUCAGUCACCACCGUCAGCGGCAAUCACUCAGUCACCACCGUAUCUCUUCAACUCAGUCGCCAGCGUCUCAUCUCAACACGAUUCACCACCGCCUCGUUUCUAUCGUUGACACUUCCCUGAUGAUUAUGUCAUGUUGCUGUUUGGAUUUAAUUUCUUGCUUGGAAAUAUGGUGGAAUCAAGAUUGAAGAAAUAGAUGGUAUCCACACCAAUGACACAGAUUUGGAAGAUGACCAGCUGUUGAUAUAAUUUGAAGAAAAUUUUGAUAUAUUUUGAAGAAGAUUUUGAUGACAAUGAUUCAACUAAUGAAGAUGUUCCAAAUGAUCAUAUUGAACCUGAUUAUGAUUAAAUUUGUUUAUUGUUUUUUUUCUUCUUUCUUUUGGUUGAAAAAGUGAUUAUUGUUUUUUGUGAAAGUCAUUAUUCACACUAUUAUAUCAUUGUUACUUUUUUAUAUUUAAACAUAUGUGAUUAAUCUCUAUGUCUUUAUCAUUACUUUAGAUGUCAGGUAGUAAACCAAGAGGACUACAUAAACGAUUUGUAGAUAAAGGGAAUGGAAAGAAAGUUCCAACCAUUUCUACUAGUUUGGAGCAAAGGAACACUGCUAUGCACACAACUUCAGUGUCACACUAGGAAGGGGACACAACUUUGUUGAUAAGAGAUCAAGUGAUGCAUAUGAUAACAUUGUAAAUCUAUGUUCACAAGUUGAGACUAGUGGCACUCAACCCAAGCCAAUUGGUAUGGAUGGAAGCAUGCUCACCCAUGGCUCAACAUCUCAAUCAAAUAAAUAUUCAAAUUAUGUUGAUAUUGUUCAUGGCAUGAGUAGAGAGGUUGAUGCGGGACUACGACAACAACUGAUAUUUGGAUUUAAUGGAUUUGGAUGAAGAUGAUCCUUCGGUUGGUAUUGUUAGUCGUGGAAGCAAUGCCAUUGAUGGUUCAAAUGCUAAUGAGUAGUAAUAUUGAUGACUUUGGAUUAGAACUUAAAAAUUAUUGAAAGUUUGAUAUUUUGUAGGCACAUUCAAGUUAUUUGAACUUUAACCUUUUGAAUGUAAUGAUAAAAGUUUGAUAUUUGGAGAUACUUGUGUUUAUGAUAAUUAAUGCUUACAAAUUGAAUUUGUAGUUCGA
Long non-coding RNA from Trifolium pratense (red clover), 1220 nucleotides. RefSeq lists it as uncharacterized. The record is from RefSeq and is a predicted model, not a curated record. Lineage: Eukaryota; Viridiplantae; Streptophyta; Magnoliopsida; Fabales; Fabaceae. The transcript has 3 exons.